RNAcentral lists this ribosomal RNA (506 nucleotides) under uncultured bacterium. RNAcentral describes it as "partial 16S ribosomal RNA". It matches the Rfam family "Bacterial small subunit ribosomal RNA", at positions 28 to 506 of the family's 1533-position model. The record is from RNAcentral.
GACGAACGCUGGCGGCGUGCCUAAUACAUGCAAGUCGAACGCAUUUUCUUUCACCGUAGCUUGCUACACCGAAAGAAAAUGAGUGGCGAACGGGUGAGUAACACGUGGGUAACCUGCCCAUCAGCGGGGGAUAACACUUGGAAACAGGUGCUAAUACCGCAUAAUUCCAUUUACUGCAUGGUAGAUGGAUGAAAGGCGCUUUUGCGUCACUGAUGGAUGGACCCGCGGUGCAUUAGCUAGUUGGUGGGGUAACGGCCUACCAAGGCUGCGAUGCAUAGCCGACCUGAGAGGGUGACCGGCCAACCGGGGACUGAGACAGGGCCCAGACUCCUCCGGGAGGCAGCAGUGGGGAAUCUUCGGCAAGGGACGCAAGUCUGACCGAGCAACCCCGCGUGAGUGAAGAAGGUUUUGGGAUCGUAAAACCCUGUUGUUAGAAAAAAACAAGGAUGGGGGGGGAAAGUUCAUCCCUUGACGGUAUCUAACCAGAAAGCCACGGCUAACUACGU